UACGGAGGAUGCGAGCGUUAUCCGGAUUUAUUGGGUUUAAAGGGUGCGUAGGCGGGAGAUCAAGUCAGCGGUAAAAAUGCGGGGCCCAACCCCGUCGAGCCGUUGAAACUGGUUUUCUUGAGUGGGCGAGAGGUAUGCGGAAUGCGUGGUGUAGCGGUGAAAUGCAUAGAUAUCACGCAGAACCCCGAUUGCGAAGGCAGCAUACCGGCGCCCAACUGACGCUGAGGCACGAAAGCGUGGGUAUCGAACAGG
This 252-nucleotide ribosomal RNA is filed under the name uncultured bacterium. RNAcentral's name for it is "partial 16S ribosomal RNA". It matches the Rfam family "Bacterial small subunit ribosomal RNA", at positions 524 to 776 of the family's 1533-position model. The record is from RNAcentral.